Molecule: RNA transcript, 9666 nt
Organism: Ixodes scapularis (black-legged tick)
Lineage: Eukaryota; Metazoa; Arthropoda; Arachnida; Ixodida; Ixodidae
Gene: sl
Gene name: 1-phosphatidylinositol 4,5-bisphosphate phosphodiesterase gamma-1
Exons: 34
Source: RefSeq, a predicted model, not a curated record
CUGUUAACAUAUUAUGAGGGUGACGCGCCGUCUCUCCUUUUCUCGGUUCCGUGCUUUUCUGUUUUUGUGUAUGCUUCGCAGGAAUGGUGGACCGUGUGGCAGCUUGAUUUGUGUUUCCGAGCUUCGAUGGGUGCGGGGAAGGCGGCCGAGUGUUGGCCUGGUUGCACCUGAGCCGAUGGACGACACAAUGUAGGCAUUUAAGCAAUCAGCUCCUUUAUUUGUUCAUUCUAGUCCAAGUUAGUGCAGCAGCGCUCCGAAACGGGCAGGAUCCGUGGUCUAAAAAAAGAAGAAGAAAAAAAGAAAGUAGUAGGCUGAUAGUCGGUGAUGGCUGCGUCCGUCCAGCAGAACGGCAGCGUACCUGUUGCCUCGUCCUGUUUGCCCGAAAUAGAGCAGAUCAUCCGGAAGCUCGAGCACGGGACCUCACUGAUCAAAUUCUACCAGAAGGGAAGGCCCGAAAAGCGAACCUUUGCGAUCAAGCUCGAGACGAGACAAGUCAUCUGGUGGCGGCCUGUCACAGGUAGAACCGUCGAAGAAGGAGCGGUCGACCUACGCGAAGUGAAGGAAGUUCGGCUGGGCCGCAAUUCCAAGAUUUUCGACCGAUGGCCAGAGGACGCCAGGAAGUGGGACCCGGCCCAGUGCUUCGUAAUUUUUUAUGGGAACACCUUCCGUCUCAAGACUCUUUCUUGUGUUGCUACUUCAGCCAAGGACUGCGAACAAUGGAUCCGUGGGAUCCGGUACCUGACGUCCGACACAGUGACAGCACCUUACCCCCUCCAAGUAGAGCGCUGGCUUCGCAAGGAAUUUUACAGCAUGCAAAAUCCCCGCAAUGUGAUAACUCUAAAAGAUCUCAAAGCAUUCUUCCCAAGAGUCAACUGCAAGCUUUCGACGAACAAACUGAAAGAAUACUUUCAGGAGGUCGACUCCAAACGUGCUGGUGAAAUCGGCUUUGAAGGAUUCGCGUCCCUCUAUCAUAACCUCAUGUAUGAUAAUAAGCUGUUUGCUGACUACUUCAAGCCUUUCUCGCAGGAGGAUGCGAAGGUUACUCCGCAAGCCUUCGAGAGGUUUCUUUCGCAGGAGCAGAAGGAACCUGCGUUGGAAGACGAGCAGUCAAUGAGCAAGUUCAUGCGUGACUACCUUCAAGAUCCUCUUCGGGAUGCCCAAGAGCCUUACUUCACUGUUCCUGAGUUCCUGGACUUUCUGUUCUCGAAACAAAACGAAAUAUGGGACAGCAAGCAUAACCAGGUGAACCAAGACAUGACGCAGCCCCUAACGCAUUACUGGGUGGCAUCUUCACACAACACGUACCUCACUGGGGAUCAGGUGAAGAGUGAAUCGUCUACGGAAGCUUAUGCCAGGUGUCUUUCCAUGAGCUGCCGGUGUAUUGAGCUCGACUGUUGGGAUGGACCUGAUGGAAUGCCCUACGUGUACCAUGGUCACACACUGACAACCAAGAUUAGGUUCAUUGAUGUCAUCAAGGCUAUCAAGGAGCACGCCUUUGUCGUGUCAGAGUAUCCUGUCAUCUUGUCAAUUGAAAACCACUGCACCUUGCCACAACAAAGGAAAAUGGCUAACUUGUUUCAAGAGGUAUUUGGAGAAAUGCUUUUGACACAACCUAUUGAACGAGACGGCACUAGGAUGCCAUCACCGGAGCAACUGAAACGAAAGAUUAUCAUCAAGCAUAAGAAGCUCCCAGAGGGAACAGAUGAAAAGGUGAUCGUCACCAGGAGUGAUGAAGGAGGUCAGGAGACCGAUGUCAGCAAUGCUGUCAAAAAUGGAAUCCUCUUCCUUGAAGAUCCGGUCGACAAAGAGUGGCGGGCCCACUUCUUCAUGCUGACUCAGAACCGGAUGUACUAUGCGGAGGAGCAACAAGCCCAGGAUGAAGAGGACGAGGGCGAAGGUGACGGCACUGGGCUACAGCAGCAGCGUGAGGGCGUGCCGAAUGAGGAGCUUCACUUCGGGGAGAAGUGGUUCCAUGGAAAGUUGGCCGGGGGCAGACUCAAGGCCCAAGAACUGCUGCAGCAGCACUCUCACCUCGGGGAUGGCACCUUCCUGGUGCGGGAGAGUGACACCUUUGUGGGCGACUACUCCCUUUCGUUUUGGCGCCAGGGCAAAGUGAAUCACUGCCGGAUCAAGUCGAAACAGGAGCGGGGUCAGACCAAGUACUACCUAAUUGACACUGUGGCUUUUGACACACUGUACAAUCUGAUCAGUCACUACCAGACACAUCCACUACGCAGCCAGGAGUUCUACAUGUACCUCAACGAACCAGUACCUCAGCCUAACAAGCACGAGGGCAAGGAGUGGUAUCAUGCUAACAUGACGAGAACCCAAUCGGAAGAGCUCCUCAAGCGGGUGAAAUAUGAUGGCACCUUCUUGGUGCGUCCGAGCGAAAAAGAAGACAGCUGCUUUGCCAUAUCCUUCAGGGCCGAGAACAAGAUCAAGCACUGCCGCAUCAAGCAGGAGGGUCGCCUGUUCCUGAUUGGCACGGCCCAGUUUGAGAGCCUGGUUGAGCUGGUCAGCUAUUAUGAGAAGCAUCCUUUGUACCGCAAGGUCAAGCUCAAGUACCCCGUCAAUGAAGAUGUCAUCCGGCGCAUUGGAACCGAGCCCGAGGAGAGUCCCCCGCAUGCUGGGGGACCCGCGGGGACCUACAUGGACCCGGACAGCUUUUCGGGGGCCUCCCAGAUGACGGUGAAGGCCCUGUAUGACUAUCGGGCUCAACGAGAGGACGAACUGUCAUUCUGCAAGCACGCCAUCAUCACGCACGUGGUGCGCCAGGAUGGGGGCUGGUGGCGGGGCAACUACGGUGGCAAGCGCCACCACUGGUUCCCGGCCAACUUUGUCGAGGUCCUCGACACGCAGGAUGCCUCGGAGGAUGGGUCUGGGGAAGCGAUGCCACUAGGAACCCUGCAGAAGGGCAGCAUUGACAUUGCAGGCUGCACCGUCGACAUCCUGCAGAGCUGGCCGGGUCGAGGACGGGAAUGGGUGUUCCGCAUCGUGUCGCCCACGCAGCUGGUGCCCAUCGAGAUUGCAGCACUGUCCAGGGAAGAGAUGCACGACUGGGUCCUCAAGAUCCGGGAAACUGCCCAGUCGGCCAACGACAUGAUCCAGCAGAGAAGGGAAAUGGAACGGAGCUUGAGGCUUGCUAAGGAAUUAUCCAACCUCAUCAUCUACUGCAGAUCUGUGCAGUUCUGUCCCGAGAGAAUCGGGAAUUUCACGGAGAUGUCGUCGUUCCCAGAAACGAAGGUUGAGAAAUGGAUAAGUCCUCAGCAUUGCUCUUUCUUCCUCAAAUACCACCGACUUCAGUUCAGCCGUGUGUACCCCAAGGGCAGUCGCAUUGAUUCCUCCAACUAUGACCCUGUCCACCUGUGGAACUGUGGCUGCCAGAUGGUGGCUCUGAAUUACCAGACUCCAGAUCGACCAAUGCAGUUGAACCAAGGCAGGUUCCUGCAGAACGGAAGGUCUGGCUAUGUCCUCCGUCCUGAGUUCAUGCACGAAGAUGGCUAUGAUCCAUACGAUCGGACCAGCUUGAAGUCUGUGCACCCAGUCACACUGGCCAUCAAGGUGAUAGCUGCUCGCCAUCUCAUGAAGUCUGGGCGUGGGAUUGUUAGUCCUUUUGUGGAGAUUGAGAUUGUUGGAGCAGACUUUGACUGCAGCAAAUACAAGACGGGGACCAUUCCGGACAAUGGUCUGAACCCGAUCUGGAAUGAGGCAUUCAUGUUUGAUGUCUGCAAUCCCAGCGUGGCCCUUCUCCGUUUUGUUGUUCAGGACGAGGACAUGUUUGGUGACCCCAAUUUCCUCGGCCAGGUCACCUAUCCUGUGAGCUGCCUCAGGACUGGAUAUCGCAGUGUGCCACUCAAGAAUGAAUACAGUGAAGAACUGGAGCUUGCAUCUUUACUUAUUCAUCUGGAAGUGUAUGCUACGAGGGAGGAAGAUGAAGCGUACGUGUGCAUCCAGCGACUGCGGGAUGAAAGCCGGGAACUUGGGCGUGCGCUCGAGGAGAGCGAGCGUCGAGGCGACUUGCAGCAGGCCCAGGCCCUGCGCCAGCAGCUCUCAACCACUCAGGAACAGCUCCGCACAAAGCACGAGGAGCGCAGAAACAGCAAACAGUGGUGAAGAAGAAAGGGAACUAAAAACAUACAAAUGGGCCCCCUGGUGACAUUGCAACGGGUUAGUUACUCGACCACUCUUGCCUCUCCUUAAGUGACUUAACCUCGAUACCAAAGGUUGGAAUUGGAAAGAUCUCAGCCUGCUUGAUCUGCCAUGGGGAUCCUCGACAGCACAUUUCAACCCGACCGAUCAGCCGGAUGUGUGCCUCGGUUCAGACGACAGUCUUUGUGUAAUUUCGUCCAGUGUGAGUGUUGGUGUGGCAUUUUAUGGAUCAAUGCCUUUGAAAAGUUAGCUAUUUUUUGGUGCUCUUGCCAGCCACUCAGCACAGAUGUCUCGGCCUUUCUUUGUCUUGGUGUGUGUACAUAAUAUAUAUUUUUCCAAGAUAUCAACCUGAAGGACCCAGAAUCUGGUAGACGCUGACUUGCGGUUUCAAAGACCAAACCACGAGAUUGCAGAUAGAAUAAAUUGUUUGUGCCUGGGUUUUAGAAGUAGGCUGUGUAAUGUUUACACAGCCUACUCCUAAGGCCUUCUGUCGUGACACAGUUUUCAGAGACUGUGUCUUUCUAGUAGCACAAACGUUUCUUCCAGUUUCACCAGUCAUUCCCUUAAAUUUACCUAGGGGCUGUUUAACACAAUACAUUGCUGAUGGAACUGUGCAUUGUGAAAGGGCUUUUCCAUUCACUUCCCAUUUUUGAAGGAUCUUUUAUGCGGCCACUAUAAAGUAGAUGCACAGUGAUAUGUUUUCAUGCAACAAAAUUAGAAGCGUUACUAUGUUUGUUACGAGUCAUUUAAGGGCAGGGAAGCAAUGUUGUCAAAGUUCUACCAGGUGCUACUAAAACAAUGUAUAUAAAUCCACUUAAUAUUAGUAGUCCGAGAAGGCAUUUACAGCUUUAGCACACCUCACUACUUUAUUACCAGCACGCUUCAGGGAAUGAAAUCCGGGCAUUGUGGAAACAUUUCUGAACAUUUACAGCUUCAUCGAUAAAGUUUUAUUGGCAAAUUGUUUUGUAAUUUAAUAUUUUCAUUAAUGUGCAGCAUUAAGAUAUGAGAUUUCUUUCGCUAUUAUACUAUUACAUCUUUGGAACAUUAAUUGUUGUACUGAGUGUUGCACUGAAUGUCGGCCAAACUUUUCUUAAGAAAACUAUGCAUUGCAUAGAAAAACGAUUGGAGCCGUAUCAUUCAUUGUUGAGGAGCCAAUUUAGUGAGGUUUUAGGAUAAUCAAGUUUAUUAUUAAUUUCCCACCUUUUGAGUAACAUAAACAUGAUUCCAAUGAGAAAAUUGCCAACCAUCAUCAAAAACCACAAAAGCAGUAAAUUUUAGAGUGAUUUAGAAAAUAUGGGAAGCAUGGUGUUCCACAAAAAGUUACUGUUAAAUGGUGCAAUGCUGGCAGAGUGAAAAUUUAGAUAAGAAACGGAAACACUGCGGACGUUUAGAAUUUUGAUGCAUUCUUGAGACCCAGAAAAAUGAAGCACGUGCUCCAAAUCUUACUAAAAUUGAGACCUUGUGAUUUUUGAUGAUGCCCAGCGAAUUUUUAAUUGGGCUACAUGUUUAUUGAGACUAAUUAAGUAGUUAUGCAAAAUUAGUAGAAAAGCUUCAUUACCCUAAAUGCUAUAUACAGGGCAAUUAAUUCUAAUUCAAAGAUUAAAAAAACAAACACGAGGUGAGGGUUAGACGAGUUCUAUCUUCACUAUGUAUUUAUCAGGCUCGGCGGACAGUGGAUGAGGGUAUGAUCGUUGCGGUAAGUUGCCUAAUUAACUAAAAUCUGUUGUUUAACUUUUUAAAUAUUGGUUUUAGGUGUCAUUUUGGAAUUGCAGUAUUGAUGACAAUUAUUACUAGAGGCCAGACCAAUGAACUUUCACAUUUUUUUCGCUCAAUUUACAAAAUUGCAGUGGCUUAGCUCGGUUAUGCCAGGAUAUACGUAGCGUAAGCUUAGGUUCAAUUGGUUAUUCUUAGCUUUCCUGGUUGUCUAGGAUUAGCUUGAUUAUCAUGCUUACCGCUGCUUCCAUGAUGCACACACGGUAUACGCAUUAUGUGACUACUUCGGGAUCCGAUGACUCCGCUCUUCUUAUUGCGGAGGAGGCGCCGUGUAACCGAGCUUUCGGUUGCAUGUCAAAAGAUUCUCAGGUGGUCCAAAUUAAUCCUCAGUCCUCCGCUGGGGCGUGCCAUAUACCCGUUGUUGGUUUGGCCAGCUGUGCGCCGUGUUGUUAUGUAUCAAGCAACCAAGCUGCCGCCCAGAAUAACCGGACAGCGCGAGCCAUGAUCUCGAGCGGGUACAUGCGCGCGGCGCGUGCAUGGGGGACUGACCUAGGCGCCAUACCAGUCCUGUCUGUUCCGUCACUGCUCCUCGCGCAUGCGCAGCACAGCUCUCCAGGAGCCAUGCGAAACUGCUCAACCUCGGUCAGUGUAGCUUACGCUACAAAAUUGUGUUUUAAAAGGGCGUUGCAAGCCCUGCCCACGUUGCCAAUUGGAAGAGUGACAUAGUCGUUUCAGUUGCGUCGUCACGUGUGUCAUCAGCGCACCCACCAAGGGCGCGCUACCGAGAUUGUGACGGCAUGAUUGAAAUGACUAUGUCACUCUUCGAAGCGUCAAUGUGGGCAGAACUUGCGACAUCCUUUUAAAGCAUAAUUUUUAAAUCAAGCGGAAAAAAUGCGGAAGUUGAUGUAUUAAUAUAUAGGAAACUAUUACCUUUCUGCAUAUUGUAACUGCCGUCAAUACUCAAACUGCAACAUGACCCCUAAAACCCAUAAUUAAAGUUAAUUAAACGGCAACUCCGGUCAAUAUUUUAGAAUUUGGGAUUACGACUGUUUUCAGUUCAGUCAGUAUACCUAAAUCACAAGGUAUAUAUUUUUUUUUUCGAUAUUGUGCAUAGUUUUCAAAAUAUCACGGCUCAAGUUUGAUUUCGGGUGUCUACGGCAAAUCCGGAACUAUCUGCUCAAGGGGGAUGGCAACAGUGAUCAUCAGCUGUAUGGCCGCGACGUGACGUCGCCGUGGUGCAACGUAUGUGUUACAACGUACGGAAACAACUGCAGCACCACUGCGACGUGAUGUCGGGGUGCUGUGGUACACGUCGCCCAGUGUUGCUUGACUAAAAUUAACCCGCUUGCCAUCCACUAAAGAGCAGCUGGUCGCAACUUUAAAGAAGCCGGUUUUGGUGGAGUACACGGCUUCACUUUGACGCAAUGUUUCAACUGUAAUAGAUACAAGGUGUUCCAAAAAAAUUUUUUUACAGUGUUUAUUGAACCGCAAAAAAUAAACUAUGCACAGCCAACCGCUCAUUCUCUGCCCAAAUGUAAAGCUAGAGUUCCGAGCCAGAUGCCAAAGUUUCAGCGCAAACCGAUAUCUUAUUCAAAAGUUUUGUGAUUUCCUGAAAAUUUCAAUGGGAAAAUGGGGCCCAUUUUUGCCUGUUUUCGGUUUAUAGCGCCAUAGAGCUCCAUGUAUUUGAGAGCUCUGUCGGCCGCCAUUUUCUCAUCUAAAUUUGUAGAAAAUCACUUGUAACUUUUGAAUAAGAUAACGGUUAGUGCUGAAACUUUGACAACUGAUUUGGACCUCUAGCGCUAUAUUUGGGUGGGCAAUGAUCACUCGGCGAUGCAUAGUUUAUUUUAGCGGUGAAAAAAAAAAGCGGAUGAAUUUCUUUUUGGGACACCCCGUACAUGGUGAAAACGGAGCUCGUCCAAACUCUCACCUCAUAAUAAAAAAUAAAAAAAAAAAAAAAUCUGUUUGAAUUAAAAUUAAGCACUCUCUAUACCUCGGUAAAUAGGCUCCUUGACAGUGACUAAUACUGUAUCAAUCUGAUUUCUGUAUAAGGCAUAGUUUUUACACACAACUUUGGGCCAAUGUUCGGUGAAGCACCCUGUAUACAAUCGCAAACAAAUUCUGCAUUGGGUAGCAUGAUCUUGGCAAAGUUUUUAUUUAUUUGUGGCAUCUAUUGAUGCUCAUGCCUGUCUGUUAAUAGUGUCAUUUUGGUGAGUUUACACCAAGUAUUUAACUCUUUAUUGAAAGAAUGGAAAGGUGUUUGUCAUAGCUUCUGAUGCAGCACUGAAUUCCAACCAUAACAAAUGCUCUCAAUUUGCCUUGGACCUCUUUCAAUUCGUAAAUCUUUCAUGGGAACAUGUUUGUGUCCCAAGCAUGGAAAGGCAGACGUUGCCAAGAACCUUCGAUGAGCUUCAUCUGAGGGCAUGCUUUAGCCAACAGUUGAACCAUGAUUGUGGAAAGAGCAUAGUGAGCACUAAUUUUACUAAUUGCUCAGGAUGUAAUAAAUUCAAUGUGGUUUUGAGGUCAGGUCAUUUUAAGAAAUAUGUUUCAGCAUGACUUGUCUAAUGGCAGCACUCUAGUGGAUUGAAAAUAUGCGUGCUGCAAUACUUAGUGUCUCUGUGGAAAAACAUGUGCAGAGUUCUACUGACAAACUUUGGUUUUCUAGCCAAUUACUUCCGAAGUAUUACCAGAUUUGCUGACAUUGUGAACUUAGUGUCAUGCUGAUAACUGAGGAGACAGUCUUCCACUCAUGCCAAUUGUAACUAUAUGAUAGCUGGGUGCAAGCAAGGAUCAUGUGGUGGUCUGGGAGUCUCUUAUCGUAACAAAUUAUCUUAUCAUGAGCUCAAAUUAGAUUUGUUUGUCUUCGAGUUAUUAGUAUUAGCAGACUUAAUUUCAUGCAAACAGGAAUUAGCACUUUUUUUUUACUGAUUUCAGUUAUGCAGUAUUUAUUUUAAAAUCUACAUUGUGAUUAGAAAAAAAAAAACAGUUCAUAUUGUUGUGCCACCAUAUAGGUCACAAAAGUCAGUUAUACUAUUGUGGUGAGAACAAAAGUAAUGGAUGUAGAAUGCUGCCAGAGAGUAGUCACAAAAAAGGUGCAGCAUAGCACAGCUAUUUUGCACUGUCCGACAUGCAGCACAUAAUAUUAAACCAUAAGGGCGCCUUCAAGCAUCUUUGUAGUAUGCCUCGUAAUAUGUGAAAUAUGUUAUUUGUGUAAGUUAUAUUAGUGCUGAAUGUAAUGUGCAAUGAGAGUUACGUGCUCUAAGAUGUGCAUUUAAAAGAUGUGAUGUGUAGAGCAAGAUGGUAGAUGGGGCUUGCGUCAAAUGCGAGGUCAGUGCCACUCCAGAAUACUUACUGCCAGUGAUGGCAUUGCUCCUUUGCCAUAAGAUGUUCCACAAACUACUUUUUGUGUGUUGUAUAAACUUCGAUGUUUUAAAAUUAAGGCAUCCUAUGCAGGAACGGAAGCAGCUAAGUACAUAUAGCUUUUCCUUUAGUAUACUAUUGUUGAGGAGUGACGACUGUAACCUGGAUGUCUUAUUUUAAAGCUGGUCCUCUCUUGCCUUUAAGCACUGGUUGCAUUUGCCCAUGGGCAUGUUCUCUUUUGCAAUUUUUUUCACGGUUUGAUGCAGCAUUUUUGUUGUGCUGUACCUUCAACAUGCCUGUUUGCCUCUCAUACCAUCAUAUGCCAGUUUGAAAUGUAAAUGUUUCAUGUUGCCGUUUUUGUUAAAAAUAUUUAUUAGCACUCGUUAAGAGGAAGCAUGCCAUUUCAAAUUUUAGUCUGGUGUAAUAAAGUCACUGCAUUAUGCCUGA